AUUUAUCACUUGCUAUGGCAUCAACAACAGGGAAAAGUCCAGCGUCUAUGUCUCCUUCUUGAUCAUUCAUAUCCACCAGCAUACAGUAGAAAAACGAUUCCUGUUUAUUUUAUCUUGUCCUACUUCAUGUGUAUGUCUGAAUGAAGCCUGGUCUUUCCGUGCAGCAUCAGAGCUUUCCGAACUUGGGUCCUCUCAUCAGAAGAAAAGGAAAACCCACCUUUAUCCAUAAAAGGAGGAGGAGACUGAGUCAAGAUUAAGCAAUUUAAACUGCUGCAGCCAGUAAGUGCCAGACCUGAGUUUUGAAACCAUGU
Molecule: long non-coding RNA, 311 nt
Filed under: Rhinopithecus bieti (black snub-nosed monkey)
Lineage: Eukaryota; Metazoa; Chordata; Mammalia; Primates; Cercopithecidae
Description: lncRNA (ENSRBIG00000046457.1)
Source: RNAcentral